Drosophila ficusphila is the source of this 970-nucleotide long non-coding RNA. RefSeq lists it as uncharacterized. The record is from RefSeq and is a predicted model, not a curated record. Lineage: Eukaryota; Metazoa; Arthropoda; Insecta; Diptera; Drosophilidae. The transcript has 5 exons.
UAAACAUUCAAAUACAAGGCGGCGGAAAUUUGGAUCUUUGGUGGCCAUCGGUGUUCUUGGCCACUGCGUACCCACCCAACCUAGGAUGCCUGAAAAAGGUCUAGCAAUUCAUCAUCAUUACAAACUGGCUUUAAUUAUUCAGGCCGCAGGAUCGCUAAUCGACCGCCGUCUUAAAAUUUAGCGGUCAAAGCUAAUUGUUAAGAAAAGGACCGGAAAUGUUCUGCCACCCUUAUAUCGGCAGAAUUCUUUUGUUAACGCGGCUUAAAAUUAGGGUCACCUAAUCCUGAAGAGCUCCAAGGGAAAAGGAGGGACGCCGAAAGCAACCGUCGAUCAAGGGUGAAUCUUUGGAAGGACGCCCAAUAGACUUAACAAUAUAAGGAAGUGGUGGGUUUGGGCUCGGCCCACCAGGAAAUCGCACCACCAGGAACUCGGAGGCUUAUGGAGUUUGGCUGGCCAACCUCGUGGUACCAACCGCUCGCGAGGUAAACUGGCCACUAUCGGAGGCACCACGACACGGAACGGACUCACCGGAGAUCUGGAGUCCGAGAAUGGUGACUGGGUCGCUGAUGAUUCCCUCACUCUUGCGUAAGCCGACUUCGUUUCCUCCAAAAAAAUUAUUUGUACGAAAACGGCGUAUCUUCCAAAAUUGAUUAUCUCCAACCAGGGAAAAUGUGGAUCUCCUCCAAAAUAAAUUAUACUGAGGCUCCUCCAAAAUGAACGUGGUACUCGCAAUAAUAUGUAGCUCCUCCAAAAAUAUGGUGUUCUUUGAACAAUGUGGUUUCUCCAGAAAUAUUUAUUGGGUUUCUUCAAAAAGAACGUGUUGCUCAAGAAAAAAUGAGGCUUCUCCAGAAUAAGGCGAUCUUCAAAACAGGUUAUAUCGUCUUCACGAAAAAUAUGCAUUCCUCAAGAAAAAGAAUCCCGGAGCCCUUUAUUAUGGGACCCCGGGUUCCCUAAACAAAAAUAAACAUUU